Molecule: long non-coding RNA, 1376 nt
Organism: Oncorhynchus tshawytscha (Chinook salmon)
Lineage: Eukaryota; Metazoa; Chordata; Actinopteri; Salmoniformes; Salmonidae
Source: Ensembl
AUAAGCGUUGUUCUUUAUCUCAAUUUCCUCUCUCACAUGUUCAAACUGUCAAGACGGUUCUCCCGAGUGGCGCAUUCGAUCUAAGGCACUGCAUUUAAAUGCUAGAGGCAACACGACAGACCCUGAUUCCAGGCUGUAUCACAACCGGCCGUGAUUGGGAGUCCCAUAGGACGCCGCACAAUCGGCCCAGCGCCGUCCAGCAACGCCAGCAAGGGGAACGCAUUAGGGGGGAAAAAAUACACACAGAAGACUCCAAAAAGAGAGAGAGCAUUUAAAAUCAGAAGUGGCAAAGGAGAGGGGCGAAAAAAGGAAAAUACAGGAAGAGGUAUGCAAGGAUUAAGGGAGAACAGGCAUCUGUAUCGGCUCGUUCGACAGUCAAAGCAUUGCUGAGACGUCAGGAUGUGACAUCACCUAUUAAGAGGGCUCUUCUCGUUCGCACAUCUCUCAUUAAAGAUAUCAAAAGAAAAUACAGAUAUGCAAGGAAACAGAAGAACAAGCAAAUCAUUGCAAACGCGACCUCUGUGAAUAUACUGAAGAAGUAUUCCCAGACGGUGUUGGGCUUUUCAAAUAAGAGAGCGAAGUUGGAAGGGGGACCUUUGCUCUUUUUGUGACGAGGAAGGGAAGCAGAACAGAAACCGAAAUCAAAAGGAAAGUGAAGGAUGUCUUUCCCUGUGAUGGUGAUGAUGUAAGACCGGCCGCAAACAAACCAUCACAAGACUAAAGAACAAAAGGCAGAAGAGGUUUCUGACUGACACAAUGAAUGUAUUUUUGUGUUGUUUUUCACAAUGAAUAUGUAACUAAAUAGCAGUUCCAAUGUUGUUACUACAUGUAUUACUAUGUAGAUGUCUAUUCAGUGUUCAGUAUGCAGUGUUCAAGGUUUCAUAUAUGUUCUGUCCCAUUGCAGCUGUCCACCCUGUUAUACCUUGGUCCACCCUGUUAUACCUUGGUCCAUCCUGAUAUCUUGGGAUCUUUCUCAAAGGAAUUCAGUUACAUGGUCAAAUAUGAAGAAUUUGUGUCAUGUAUUUUGAAGAGUGAGACAUGGCCAACACCACACAAUUAUAUAAAAUAUCACUAAUACCCGUCUCAAUUUAGAGAGAUAAGGUGCAAAUUAGAUUAAGUUCUGUAUAAAACCACACAUUGUAUACAACCUGUUAUUCCUUUAUAAUUUGACCAGAACAAAUGGACAGGGUUGACAAGGGGACACAAUAUCUUUAUGAAAAUGUAAAUAUUAUUAAAGUAGUAGUAAUUAAAAGACAGUUAAGUGGAUGUCCGUAACAUGGUGAACAUAUAUGAAAUAUAUGAAAAUAUGUUUAUAAGGAUCUAACUCUAAGUGCUGGAGCUUGGCCAACAUUUUUUUCUCCAAGUCAAGUAUUUCC